RNAcentral lists this ribosomal RNA (173 nucleotides) under uncultured soil bacterium. RNAcentral describes it as "partial 16S ribosomal RNA". It matches the Rfam family "Bacterial small subunit ribosomal RNA", at positions 26 to 197 of the family's 1533-position model. The record is from RNAcentral.
AGGAUGAACGCUGGCGGCGUGCUCAACACAUGCAAGUCGAACGAUGAACUGGAGCUUGCUCCGGGGAUUAGUGGCGAACGGGUGAGUAACACGUGAGUAACCUGCCCUUGACUCUGGGAUAAGCACUGGAAACGGUGUCUAAUACCGGAUAUGACCUUCAGCCGCAUGGCGUA